CGCCAGACUCCUACGGGAGGCAGCAGUGGGGAAUAUUGGGCAAUGGGCGCAAGCCUGACCCAGCAACGCCGCGUGAAGGAAGAAGGCCCUCGGGUUGUAAACUUCUUUUGUCAGGGACGAAGCAAGUGACGGUACCUGACGAAUAAGCCACGGCUAACUACGUGCCAGCAGCCGCGGUAAUACGUAGGUGGCAAGCGUUAUCCGGAUUUACUGGGUGUAAAGGGCGUGUAGGCGGGGAAGCAAGUCAGAUGUGAAAUUCCAGGGCUCAACCCGGGAACUGCAUUUGAAACUGUUUUUCUUGAGUGAUGGAGAGGCAGGCGGAAUUCCGUGUGUAGCGGUGAAAUGCGUAGAUAUCAGGAGGAACACCGGCGGCGAAGGCGGCCUGCUGGACCGCGACUGACGUUGAGGCUCGAAAGCGUGGGGAGCGAACAGGAUUAGAUACCCCAGUA
This 449-nucleotide ribosomal RNA is filed under the name uncultured bacterium. RNAcentral's name for it is "bacterial SSU rRNA". It matches the Rfam family "Bacterial small subunit ribosomal RNA", at positions 329 to 792 of the family's 1533-position model. The record is from RNAcentral.